Molecule: ribosomal RNA, 464 nt
Filed under: uncultured bacterium
Lineage: Bacteria
Description: partial 16S ribosomal RNA
Rfam family: Bacterial small subunit ribosomal RNA
Source: RNAcentral
GACGAACGCUGGCGGCGUGCUUAACACAUGCAAGUCGAACGGAAAGGCCCUGCUUGCAGGGUACUCGAGUGGCGAACGGGUGAGUAACACGUGGGUGAUCUGCCCUGCACUUCGGGAUAAGCCUGGGAAACUGGGUCUAAUACCGGAUAUGACCUUCCAUGUAGUGUGGGGGGUGGAAAGAUUUAUCGGUGUGGGAUGAGCCCGCGGCCUAUCAGCUUGUUGGUGGGGUAAUGGCCUACCAAGGCGUCGACGGGUAGCCGGCCUGAGAGGGUGGACGGCCACAUUGGAACGGAGAUACGGCCAGACUCCUACGGGAGGCAGCAGUGGGGAAUAUUGCACAAUGGGCGGAAGCCUGAUGCAGCGACGCCGCGUGGGGGAUGACGGCCUUCGGGUUGUAAACCUCUUUCGACAGGGACGAAGCUUCGGUGACGGUACCUGUAGAAGAAGCACCGGCUAACUACGUG